Molecule: ribosomal RNA, 602 nt
Filed under: Methylorubrum aminovorans
Lineage: Bacteria; Pseudomonadati; Pseudomonadota; Alphaproteobacteria; Hyphomicrobiales; Methylobacteriaceae
Description: bacterial SSU rRNA
Rfam family: Bacterial small subunit ribosomal RNA
Source: RNAcentral
AACUCAGACGUGUGAAAGGAAUACUGGGGAGCUUACCAUGCAAGUCGAGCGGGCACCUUCGGGUGUCAGCGGCAGACGGGUGAGUAACACGUGGGAACGUGCCCUUCGGUUCGGAAUAACUCAGGGAAACUUGAGCUAAUACCGGAUACGCCCUUUUGGGGAAAGGUUUACUGCCGAAGGAUCGGCCCGCGUCUGAUUAGCUUGUUGGUGGGGUAACGGCCUACCAAGGCGACGAUCAGUAGCUGGUCUGAGAGGAUGAUCAGCCACACUGGGACUGAGACACGGCCCAGACUCCUACGGGAGGCAGCAGUGGGGAAUAUUGGACAAUGGGCGCAAGCCUGAUCCAGCCAUGCCGCGUGAGUGAUGAAGGCCUUAGGGUUGUAAAGCUCUUUUGUCCGGGACGAUAAUGACGGUACCGGAAGAAUAAGCCCCGGCUAACUUCGUGCCAGCAGCCGCGGUAAUACGAAGGGGGCUAGCGUUGCUCGGAAUCACUGGGCGUAAAGGGCGCGUAGGCGGCCGAUUAAGUCGGGGGUGAAAGCCUGUGGCUCAACCACAGAAUUGCCUUCGAUACUGGUUGGCUUGAGACCGGAAGAGGACAGCGG